Molecule: long non-coding RNA, 1329 nt
Organism: Parus major (Great Tit)
Lineage: Eukaryota; Metazoa; Chordata; Aves; Passeriformes; Paridae
Exons: 2
Source: RefSeq, a predicted model, not a curated record
AGUUACAGAUAGUUGUGCCUGAUACACCAGCGAGGCAGCCACAAUCCUGUGGAGCACUCAGCAGACUGCUGCUGGCAUCCCACUUCAUCAGUACUGACUUCAUUCCAGCUUCAUGUGUGAAUUCCUUGCACACGGCAUCUUUGCCUACAGACCACGUUAUCUCCCUUCAAAUGAGUGUGUUGAUCAAAGCCACAAAGUUCAACAGCCACCUUUGAGCUCAGACUGUGCAGAUGGGGCAGAUACCAGAAAAAGACAACUCCUUCCAAACUGAGGGUCAAAUCUUCGUCUUGCCAUUUAAAUAAUAUUUAUGUUUGUUUUUCCAAAGAAAGUAUGGAUUUUAGCCUGACUGAUAUCAUUAAGCCUGAUUUUAUACUACUUAAUUAUCAACGUGCUCAUAGGGAGGGUUUCAGCUUACACCAGCUGGCAUUUUCCUAGGUCACGUCCAGAAGAGACACAAGGACACCCCUCCCAGGAGGCAAUAUGGACAACAUUCUCCUUCUUUGAAGAGUGAAGGAAAGGAGCAUUUCCCAUGCCACUUUUUUUUCUCAGGGUUUGCCCCUUCGCCUUUCUUUGCUGGCAUGGGUGUAGUUUGCACCCAGAUAAGACUUCCUGCAGAUCCCUGUACCCUACAGUGUUCAACAACAGAAGAAGUAAUUUUCUGCUAGGUUGAACAGGAGAGGAAACAAUUUGCUACUCAUGCCAUCACCCUUUGCGGAGCAAAAAUAUAGUGGGAUUAUGCUUGAGGCCUCCUCCUGAGUAAAAUGGAUCAUGCUGGGUGUGCACAAACUCACGUUACAGCUAUCUGUCUUCUUGCUUUAUGUGAAUUUCCUUUUCUUUUUUUUUCCUAAUUUUUGUUUCAUUUUGUAUAAUUUUGUUUAAGAUUAAAUAAUUGUGUCCAAUUAACAGAUUAUGUUUAUCUCUGUGCAACAUGAAAGUUGUAAGUCAGACAUUUAGGUACAAGAUGGGAAGUUUCAUAAUUACUUUUUGUAUGUUAUACCCGUGUGACAAUUUAUGUUGUAAAACCACUAUAUUUACAUUGUGUUAUAAUUAAAGGUUAUUUUUUAAGGUAUUUUAAAAGAUAUCCAUACAUGCCUCCUCUUGAGAUUGCUAACUUCUAUUAUCUUAAGCAUGUCAUAGAGGAAAUUUAUUAAAAAAUCCAGUGUUUGGCUUCUUUUUAUUUCCUUUGUGAUCCUGGUUUUGAUAAUCAUUAUUAAAGAAAUGUUCAGCUUAAUGGCUUUGCAGUAAAAAGUAACAGUGCCGUUGAGAGAAGAAGAGAUUUAUUGGAACCACAAUACAAAUAAAAAACUUUUGCCAAGUUUGGUGUUUUUC